RNAcentral lists this unclassified non-coding RNA (353 nucleotides) under soil metagenome. RNAcentral describes it as "partial contains 5.8S ribosomal RNA, internal transcribed spacer 2, and large subunit ribosomal RNA". The stretch from base 1 to 120 matches the Rfam family "5.8S ribosomal RNA", at positions 35 to 154 of the family's 154-position model. The record is from RNAcentral.
GAUGAAGAAGGUAGCGAAAUGCGAUAAGUAAUGUGAAUUGCAGAAUUCAGUGAAUCAUCGAAUCUUUGAACGCACAUUGCGCCCGCCAGUAUUCUGGCGGGCAUGCCUGUUCGAGCGUCAUUACAACCCUCAGGCCCCCGGGCCUGGCGUUGGGGAUCGGCGGAAGCCCCCUGCGGGCACAACGCCGUCCCCCAAAUACAGUGGCGGUCCCGCCGCAGCUUCCAUUGCGUAGUAGCUAACACCUCGCAACUGGAGAGCGGCGCGGCCACGCCGUAAAACACCCAACUUCUGAAUGUUGACCUCGAAUCAGGUAGGAAUACCCGCUGAACUUAAGCAUAUCAAUAAGCGGAGGA